Molecule: ribosomal RNA, 501 nt
Filed under: uncultured bacterium
Lineage: Bacteria
Description: partial 16S ribosomal RNA
Rfam family: Bacterial small subunit ribosomal RNA
Source: RNAcentral
AUUGAACGCUGGCGGCAUGCCUUACACAUGCAAGUCGAACGGCAGCACGGGUGCUUGCACCUGAUGGCGAGUGGCGAACGGGUGAGUAAUACAUCGGAACGUACCUUAUCGUGGGGGAUAACGCAGCGAAAGCUGUGCUAAUACCGCAUACGCCCUGAGGGGGAAAGCGGGGGAUCGCAAGACCUCGCGCGAUUAGAGCGGCCGAUGCCUGAUUAGCUUGUUGGUGGGGUAAAAGCCCACCAAGGCGACGAUCAGUAGCUGGUCUGAGAGGACGAUCGGCCACACUGGGACUGAGACACGGCCGAGACUCCUACGGGAGGCAGCAGUGGGGAAGUUUGGACAAUGGGGGCAACCCUGAUCCAGCAAUGCCGCGUGAGUGAAGAAGGCCUUCGGGUUGUAAAGCUCUUUUGUCAGGGAAGAAACACCGGCUCUAACACAGUCUGGGAAUGACGGUACCUGAAGAAUAAGCACCGGCUAACUACGUGCCAGCAGCCGCUGUAA